AGUGAACGCUGGCGGUAGGCCUAACACAUGCAAGUCGAACGGCAGCACAGUAAGAGCUUGCUCUUACGGGUGGCGAGUGGCGGACGGGUGAGGAAUACAUCGGAAUCUACUUUUUCGUGGGGGAUAACGUAGGGAAACUUACGCUAAUACCGCAUACGACCUACGGGUGAAAGCAGGGGAUCUUCGGACCUUUCGCGAUUGAAUGAGCCGAUGUCGGAUUAGCUAGUUGGCGGGGUAAAGGCCCACCAAGGCGACGAUCCGUAGCUGGUCUGAGAGGAUGAUCAGCCACACUGGAACUGAGACACGGUCCAGACUCCUACGGGAGGCAGCAGUGGGGAAUCUUGGACAAUGGGCGCAAGCCUGAUCCAGCCAUACCGCGUGGGUGAAGAAGGCCUUCGGGUUGUAAAGCCCUUUUGUUGGGAAAGAAAAGCAGCAGGUUAAUACCCCGCUGUUCUGACGGUACCCAAAGAAUAAGCACCGGCUAACUUCGUG
RNAcentral lists this ribosomal RNA (492 nucleotides) under uncultured bacterium. RNAcentral describes it as "partial 16S ribosomal RNA". It matches the Rfam family "Bacterial small subunit ribosomal RNA", at positions 29 to 507 of the family's 1533-position model. The record is from RNAcentral.